UACAGAAAGCUCACCUGUGAGGGGAUGACAUUGCCUGCACUAUCCACUCAUUACAGAGGUUCUGUGCAGUGCACUAGCCUCUCGCCCCAAUGACACGUUCACAACGCGCGUUACACUUCGUCGUCCUUACAGAGACCCGGAUCAUACCUGAUAACAUCGCCUCUCCCACCGCCCUUCCUCUCUCAGGCCCCGUCCGGCUGUGGUGGUGGUACAGGUCCCCUGGGAAGUUUCCUCGGUGAGUUUGACACCCUACUCAGCUCGUUCCCAAAGGACGACACCCCGCUAAUCCUCCUGGGAGAUUUCGAUACCCACCAGGAAGCCUCCCAGUCUUCCCUCUGCUACUCCAGUCCUUCGCCCUCUAUCUGAAAUACUCUCCCCCAACCUGACAAUUUACACAGCGCUACUGUAUUUUCAAAAUACAAAAUGGCCUAAUGUAUUUUUUAAAACAGUGUAAUGACCACCACGUUGUGGAUUAUUCUUUACAUAAAUGGUAAAUGGUUGGCAUUUAUAUAGCGCCUUUAUCCAAAGCGCUGUACAAUUGAUGCUUCUCAUUCACCCAUUCAUACACACACUGACAGCAAUUGGCUGCCAUGCAAGGCACCAACCUGCUCGUCAGGAGCAUUUGGGGGUUAGGUGUCUUGCUCAGGGACAUUUCGACACAGCCCGGGCGGGGGAUCGAACCGGCAACCCUCCGACUGCCAGACUUACUGCCUGAGCCAUGUCGCCCCCAUAAUAAUAAUAAUCAUAAUCAUAAUCAUAAUAAUAAUAUGUUUUAUCUCAAAGCAGUAUAGCCUAUAUAAAUGAUAUUAAACAAGUCAAUGUUUAAAAUAGUUUAGCAAGGCUAAAAAAAAUCAGGGAUACUAACACUGAGGGGUAUACUGUAUAAUAGAUAAUCAGUUGUGGGUAAUUAGUAACAGUCCUAUGUUGAUUUUCCCUUUGCGGUCUCAGAACACAGUCACUGUGUUUCAUGGGGUGUUUUUUGAAGAACAAAGAGAGUUUCCUUGGUCAUUCUGGUUUGCGUGAAUUUUUUCACGUAAUAUACAGUACACCAGACCGUGGGAGUAAACCUGGCCCUGAAUGGAGGGGAAUGAGCCAGCUGUGUAAGAAUGACACGGCACUACUCACAUCCCUGCGUUGGUCUGGAAGGCGAAUAUUAAGCUGUACUGCGAUUUCUGAGAAUUAGGCCUAUGCUGUAUCACUUGAUUAUCCAGACAGCUGUGAAGUCAGCACAUGAAGGCUAAAUGCAAUCUUAUAAGCAAAGAGACUGUAGAGGCACAGUCAGGGGUUUGGGCAGAGGCACUGUCUGGGGUUUUGGGAGGCUGGGGGGAGGGUAUUACAAUGAUUCCAAGGACCCUGACUGACAGAUAGCUUAAAUUAGAAUAUAGGAUUUUCUAGGGGCCCAAUGUGAAAUGUUUUCAUGACGUCCAAAAUCCCUGGUGACACCCCUGGUUGUCCACAGACCAAGGUUAUAUGCUAUGCUAAGGGUAAAACCUGUGGGAUUUCUGAAUUUUGACAGCUGACUAUCUAGGAGUUCUGCGUAGUUAUGUUGUAUUAUCCCACAAACACCAAUACUUCUGCAAUUCUUCUUGCAGUUUUUUCCUCGUCAGGAUGGGACCAAGUCAGUCGUCUUUACACACGUGAAAGGAACAACAGUUGCUACUGACAACUUUCCUUCCUACAAAUUUCACUUUAUUGCCUGCUAUAUGUAUGCGAGAGCUUUCUUGGAUUAGCAUUUUUUAAGGAAUUGGACAAAACCUAGUAACCAAUAACCAUGAAUCCUGAGAAUUACCAGCUUCCCACAAUCUGCUGCACUUGAAUAAUUUAAUUCGAGCAGAGGAAUUGAGUUUAAUCGAUUUCUAUGCCUAAAUUCUCUCGCUCAGUCCUAUCUUUUAUUGUCUGUGUGUCUUGGCUGGAAAUGAUAUUUAAAUGGAGAACUGUCUUCACUUAUUUUGCUGGAAUAGCAUUCAGCUCUUUAUUAAAAACCAUAUGGUUUUCUGCUCUCUUUUUUGUUUCAGCAUGUAGAUAAAUGUACUCUUUGUUCCCUCUGCCCUCAACGAAGACAUCUGGACAACAUGAGCAUUAGUAAAUACUUGCAGAUUCUCCAUUUAAAUUACUCAUGAAAAGUAAAGAUUUUCUGGUUUGUUUGGUAGCUUUGCACCGGUAAAACUGUACAAGAUACAAGAAAUAGAUUUGAUCACAUUUUUCUGCCUUAUUUAAAUCUUGGAUUUAAAGUGACAUGAAGAAAUUGAGUGUUCCCAUACAGUAUACAGUUAAAAGAAAUAGGCAGAUUAUUUUGUAUGUUUGCACUCUUAUUAAUCAAGAUAAAUAAAUGGACACUUAGCAGUGUUUGCUUGCAGCUUCCUCUACAGCCUUUCAUGCUCAACAGCUGCUGCUUUAAUCAUUUUAGUACUAUUUUGUUACAGUACUAUGGAGGUUUUCAGAUAUUGUAACCUGUAAUAUAAACCAGGGGUGGGCAAUUCCAUAAGGGCAGUGAGUAUAUAUGUGUUUCUUUCCACCUGCCUCAAUAAGAUAAUCAUUAGGUUUGCUGGUUCAUUCAUAAAAAUGUUUUUUAAGCCAUGAUUCAUGAAUAUAUUUUGUUCAAAUAGUUAAAAGGCAACAUAACUGAGAGCAGAAGUUGGCAUAAACCUCAGAAACAAAUCAAGCCACCCCCCCCAUAUAAACCAUACUCUUCUGCCGCACUUGAAACAUAUGACUAACAGGAAGACAGAAAGAUAGAACAUGCUUAAAUAGAAGUACUUCUGUAUAUCAAUGAUUAACUGAAAGAGCCAGACAAAUUGACAUACAUCAGUAUGGAUACAAUCAUCCCAAACGUUACAGCAGUUUAGUGGUUUCCUUUUCCAAGGCUGGGCCGUCAUGGCAUAAUUAGCCCACUUAAAAUGACACAAGUCUGGGGGAGGACAGGAUAAGGGAGCUUUUGUUCCCUGCUGUUUUUACUGUGCUGUUGUUCUAUGACAUCACUUCCUGUGAUGGGCGGGUGCCAAGCUGAAGGUGGCUUACUUGUUGGGUGGAAAGACUCCCACGGUUUGGCCCCAUGAUUCACGCACAGACUCGAACAGGGAGGUGGGGCCUCCGUGUCUAUGGGCACAUCAGUUAACUUGAUCCAGCCGCUGGACUUGGACGUCCCAGCAUACACUAUGCGUCUCCCUCCUCUUCAUCUGGUUCCCAGCACAUGAUGAAUCUCCUCUGUCCACAUGGCCAAUCCUGCUGCUCUUUUUCCUGCUGCUCUGCUGCCACACAAUUCUCUGAUUAAAUAACCGUACGUAGGUGUACAGAUGCUCCUAAUAAAGAGCUUACUGAGUGUUUUCUCUACAUCCAUCACAGUUGCUAAAGAAGCCUUUUCCAAGAAACCCAAACUGUUUUCUUAAUUUCUCCUCCCUCCUA
Molecule: long non-coding RNA, 3402 nt
Organism: Conger conger (European conger)
Lineage: Eukaryota; Metazoa; Chordata; Actinopteri; Anguilliformes; Congridae
Exons: 3
Source: RefSeq, a predicted model, not a curated record